GUAUAAAAGGCGUCAAGAUCGCGACGCUCAUUCUUGCACUCACCACUGACAGCGAGAGCCACGUUGCUCUGGUCCACCUGCUGCGCCGGCCGUACAACAGCGUGUAAAAGUGACAAGCGUCUAGUUGCACUUUGGGCGUGCUUCCAUCUUGCAAGCUCAAACGUUUGCAGAAGCUAGCGUUAGCAGUUAACAUCUCCAACAACCACCAACACGCAUUUAUCUGGCGUGCAACCAAACAAAGUAAGCAUUUAACGCAACGUCUGGACGACAGCGCCGUUUGGCCGAAGGUGCAAACCCUCAAAACGAGCCCGUCAUGGCCGACUGACUUUGCAGGCUUGCAUCUGGAACAGAGGGAGCAGGGUCCAAAAUGGCCACCUUGCAGUCUUCUCAUGGCUUCAUGGGACACUUGCAGACGAGCGAGCUGUGGUUGGAGAGACGUCCGGUGGUGCCCUCCAUUCGUCACUGGUGAAACACGCACGCGUCCAAAUGUUUGACACAUGUCAAACAUUUCCGCAUGUUAUUUGUCUUUUGUCCACUAGGUGGUGCCAAAGGACCUAGCUUCUGUAGCAUGGCUCUCCUGGUGUGUAUCUACAAGGUUUUGAACCUGUGGAAUCAUCAACCUCUUGUCUGACCUGCUGAUAGAGCACUUUCCAGUAAAGAUGCAGUUGGGAAUCCGCUACCUGCUGGCCAAAGAUAAAAGCUCUCCAAAACCAUGCAACCUUGAGGUGUCAAUCCUGGAGAAUAUUCCCGACAUUUCAGGAACUCUGCCUGUGCACCAGCGACUGGCUGCUUCCACUCUACAGCAGAGGUGGCAAAUCCAGGUCCAGAAAGUGAAAACCCUGCCACAGUUUGUCUUACACCUCCGAGCGCGUACACCUGGGUCUGUGCUGCCUGAAAAGCUCUCCGCUGUGUGGGGCAUUCUCUGGUUGUCGCGGAAGCUGAGGACAAGAGCAAAGCCGCAUACCAGCAGCACCUUGGUGUUCUUAUUUACUCGGCGCUAAGGCAACCUGAGAAGAAGCAAGAAACCAAAUUUACUUCCUGGGUCAUGCAGCAAGGAAUGAAAUUGGCUUGCUUGUCAUGCAGCUUGCAGUACUCUGUGCCAUAAACAACUCUACUUGCGCACUGGUCCAGGCAUGGUGCACCACUGGCCGACCACUCGUCCCACUUGGCAAUGAGCAGACAGCCAUUCAACUUGUUACUUUGUUGUGAUUGAUUGUUUACUCUGCAAAAGAAAUAAAGCUUUAUUACAAAUAAUGCAAA
Long non-coding RNA from Syngnathus typhle (broad-nosed pipefish), 1260 nucleotides. RefSeq lists it as uncharacterized. The transcript is spliced from 13 exons. NCBI's taxonomy places the organism in Eukaryota, Metazoa, Chordata, Actinopteri, Syngnathiformes, Syngnathidae. The record is from RefSeq and is a predicted model, not a curated record.